Molecule: ribosomal RNA, 447 nt
Filed under: uncultured soil bacterium
Lineage: Bacteria
Description: bacterial SSU rRNA
Rfam family: Bacterial small subunit ribosomal RNA
Source: RNAcentral
AGAACGAGCGCUGGCGGCAUGCCUAACACAUGCAAGUCGAACGAGACCUUCGGGUCUAGUGGCGCACGGGUGCGUAACGCGUGGGAAUCUGCCCUUGGGUACGGAAUAACAGUUAGAAAUGACUGCUAAUACCGUAUAAUGACUCCGGUCCAAAGAUUUAUCGCCCAGGGAUGAGCCCGCGUAGGAUUAGCUAGUUGGAGAGGUAAAGGCUCACCAAGGCGACGAUCCUUAGCUGGUCUGAGAGGAUGAUCAGCCACACUGGGACUGAGACACGGCCCAGACUCCUACGGGAGGCAGCAGUGGGGAAUAUGGACAAUGGGCGAAAGCCUGAUCCAGCAAUGCCGCGUGAGUGAUGAAGGCCUUAGGUUGUAAAGCUCUUUUACCCGGGAUGAUAAUGACAGUACCGGAGAAAUAAGCCCCGGCUAACUCCGCGCCAAGCAAGCCGAC